GACGAACGCUGGCGGCGUGCCUAACACAUGCAAGUCGAACGGAAAGGCGCUGAUCUUGUGGGGUGCUCGAUUGGCGAACGGGGGAGUAUCACGUGAGUAACCUGCCCUUGUCUUUGGGAUAACAUCAGGAAACUGGGGCUAAUACAGGAUAGGAGCUCCUGAAGCGUGGUGGGCGUUGGAAAGUGUCGGCUGUUGGGGAUGGUCUGGCGGCUUAUGAGCUUGUUUGUGGGGUAGUGGCUUACCAAGGCUUUGACGGGUAGGCUGCCUGAGAGCGUGGCCGGGCACCAUGGUACUACGAUACGGCCCAGACUCCUACGGGAGGCAACAGUGGGGAGUAUUGCACAAUGGGCGCACGCCUGAUGUGGAGGCCCCGCGUGCGGGAUGCCGUCCUUCGGGUUGUAAACCGCUUUCGCCUGAGACGAAGCGGGAUUGACGGUAAUGGGUAAAGAAGCACCGGCUAACUACGUG
This 468-nucleotide ribosomal RNA is filed under the name uncultured bacterium. Its description in RNAcentral is "partial 16S ribosomal RNA". It matches the Rfam family "Bacterial small subunit ribosomal RNA", at positions 28 to 507 of the family's 1533-position model. The record is from RNAcentral.